RNAcentral lists this ribosomal RNA (338 nucleotides) under uncultured Anoxybacillus sp. RNAcentral's name for it is "bacterial SSU rRNA". It matches the Rfam family "Bacterial small subunit ribosomal RNA", at positions 1042 to 1382 of the family's 1533-position model. Lineage: Bacteria; Bacillati; Bacillota; Bacilli; Caryophanales; Anoxybacillaceae. The record is from RNAcentral.
GGCAUGGUUGUCGUCAGCUCGUGUCGUGAGAUGUUGGGUUAAGUCCCGCAACGAGCGCAACCUCGACCUUAGUUGCCAGCAUUCAGUUGGGCACUCUAAGGUGACUGCCGGCUAAAAGUCGGAGGAAGGUGGGGAUGACGUCAAAUCAUCAUGCCCCUUAUGACCUGGGCUACACACGUGCUACAAUGGGCGGUACAAAGGGUCGCGAACCCGCGAGGGGGAGCCAAUCCCAAAAAGCCGCUCUCAGUUCGGAUUGCAGGCUGCAACUCGCCUGCAUGAAGCCGGAAUCGCUAGUAAUCGCGGAUCAGCAUGCCGCGGUGAAUACGUUCCCGGGCCUU